Molecule: long non-coding RNA, 327 nt
Organism: Oryzias melastigma (Indian medaka)
Lineage: Eukaryota; Metazoa; Chordata; Actinopteri; Beloniformes; Adrianichthyidae
Exons: 3
Source: RefSeq, a predicted model, not a curated record
GACUGCUACCGCUCCGCUCUGUCUGAAGCUGCAUGUUUGCUCUCCUCGCACAGCAGCUCCUGCAGAGGCAGCACGGACUUCUGAAGCUGUAAAAAUCAUGCAGAGGGAAAACUUCUCUCACCAUUCUGGAAGCAUCUGAAGUGAUGAUCAGCAGAAAAAAAACUCCUGAUUUAUUCCUUUCUUCGAUUUUUCCUGAUGAGGAAGAUUCCCCUGAAUGGACGAUGGAAAGUGCAGGUCUAACUUUGUUCAGGAGGAAUCCCAGUGCCACAGGCAGCUCAUCUCCAGGGUCCAGAUAAGAGAACUUAAUUAAGUCAGGCUUGUUUUCCU